CUGGUCUCGAACUCCUGACCUCGUGAUCUGCCCGCCUAGGGCUCCCAACGUGCUGGGAUUAUAGACGUGAGCCACAGCCCCCGGCCUCUCAUUUCUUAAUUGUAGACACUGCGUACUUCCGGAGAAGGUCCCUGAGAACCUGGCCGAUCUUCCCCGUUGCACCCCUCACGUGGUCCUGUUAGCUCCCAAACUGUCAACCUGAAAGGAAACCCAGAGGCAGGCUCUCCAGGACAAGCUCAAACACAUCCGCUGUGCCUGAUCCUCCUGUUCGGACCUAGACCGAUCGCCUCCUGACCGUGCAGCACAGCUCUUAUCUCGAGCUUUUCUCUGCUCUCAUCCUUGAGACUCACUUUGCCUGUCUCCUUUCUUGGAUUCCCUAUGUAAACGAAAAAUAAAAUCCUGAGCCCUCUA
Molecule: long non-coding RNA, 411 nt
Organism: Cercocebus atys (sooty mangabey)
Lineage: Eukaryota; Metazoa; Chordata; Mammalia; Primates; Cercopithecidae
Exons: 2
Source: RefSeq, a predicted model, not a curated record